Molecule: ribosomal RNA, 378 nt
Filed under: Triticum aestivum (bread wheat)
Lineage: Eukaryota; Viridiplantae; Streptophyta; Magnoliopsida; Poales; Poaceae
Description: partial small subunit ribosomal RNA
Source: RNAcentral
AUGUCGAGCAGUUCAUCGUCGGCGCGGCAUCUCCGGGCACCUCCCCCACUGCUGCCAUUGAUCAUGUGCCCAAGGUGCACUGGGACGAGGACCAGGUGGUUCGUGUCCGGGACGGAUCGUAACCCGGGCAUCCGGUUCUACAAGUGCCCGAACCAGGCAGACGGAGGCCCCUGUGAUUUUUGGCUGUGGGUGGACCAAUACGCAUUCUACAUCACCGGGGUUGGCAUUAACCUACUCAUCAAGGCCGCCGGAGGAGGGAGCAACGUCAUGUUCGGAAUGGGCCGCGCCAUGGACGACAUAUGCAACGUGGUGAGGAACACCAUGAUGAUCUGCUUGCUAAUGCUCUUCGUGGUGCUUGCCAGGUCAGCCGGUGGGCAG